RNAcentral lists this unclassified non-coding RNA (425 nucleotides) under Hevea brasiliensis (rubber tree). Lineage: Eukaryota; Viridiplantae; Streptophyta; Magnoliopsida; Malpighiales; Euphorbiaceae. The record is from RNAcentral.
CCCCCCAAAGCCCAAGAAAACCAGUCUUCAUCAUAGGCCUCUGUGAUUGAUUUCUAGAAUACUUAAGUUGGUAGUAGUCAAGCCAGUUCUGCAUACUUUUCUUCUUCUUCACCAAUUUGGCUAGUUUGUUUGAAUUGUAUACCGACUGAUGAGUAAGAUAGUGAUCUGGAUGAUUGACCAGAAAAAAGUGCUCCACAAGCUCACUAACAGAUUCAUCAGGAUCUGGUGGCACAUUCCUAACAAGGACUGUAAAUUGAUCUGGACGACGACUUUCUGAGGCAAGAAACUGCAAGCGCAUUGUAGCAACUUUCUCAUACUCCUUCAUUAACACAUAGCAUGUCCAAAAAGUAAAGACAUAAGCCAUAACUAUAUGUGCCCAAAAUCUUUGCGAUUUGAGUGGGACAUUUGAGAUUGAAAGCUUGUCA